UACGAAGGGGGCUAGCGUUGCUCGGAAUCACUGGGCGUAAAGGGCGCGUAGGCGGCCGAUCAAGUCGGAGGUGAAAUCCCUCGGCUCAACUGAGGAAUUGCCUUCGAUACUGUUCGGCUUGAGUACGGUAGAGGAGGGUGGAAUUCCCAGUGUAGCGGUGAAAUGCGUAGAUAUUGGGAGGAACACCAGUGGCGAAGGCGGCUCACUGGCCCGGUACUGACGCUGAGGUGCGAAAGCGUGGGGAGCAAACAGG
RNAcentral lists this ribosomal RNA (253 nucleotides) under uncultured bacterium. RNAcentral describes it as "partial 16S ribosomal RNA". It matches the Rfam family "Bacterial small subunit ribosomal RNA", at positions 524 to 776 of the family's 1533-position model. The record is from RNAcentral.